UACAACCCAGGCACCUGGAAUAGUAGACAGCUGUCAUAAAAACCCAGCAAAACUGGGUUCCUGUAGGCCUUUUAUAUAAAACAACAGAUUUGAACAGCUGGUAAAUGUCAUCUUGUAGAAUAUGUCACAUAUAAUCUAUCAAGAUAAUGCCUAUUUUUUUUUUUUUCUGACAAAUUUACACUUUUUUUUUUUUUUUUUUUUACCUUAAAUCAAGCUCGACAAGAAGACUGUGCCCUUUCAACACCCUAAUAGAUGUGUCCUCCUGAUCAAGCCAGAUGACCUAAUAGGAGACCACCAAGGGUCUCUGCAAGAGCAUGCUGGCAUAGUUUUUUUACCUGGAACCAGCCAAAAAAAUGUGGAUAAUUGUCACCUGUAUCAGCAGAAAUCACUGUCUGGCAACCUUUCUAGCAUGAGAACAGAGCUGUGCUUGCUGAAAACAUGCAGUGUGAAACAAGGACUGGAAGAAACAAAACCAAACAGGAAUAGUUUGCCUGGAAAGUUAUCUCAAGACCCUCCAGCACUUCAUUUUGUGCAUCCCCAGAAGAGCAUCCCUCUCACAGCUCCUUCACAGCUGCUUUGCUUUCCUUGUCACCAACCAGACAGAAAACAAAGUGAUCAGAACUGGUCCAUGGGUGGGUGGUUUCCCUUUCUCUUUUGUUGCUCAAUUACUUGUUCUUGGACUGAGGAAGGUGAAAAAUCAGUGAGUUAUUCAUCUUGACUGCAUCUGAGGAGCUGAAGGGACUGCUGGAAGUAGUUCAGGAGUUGUUCUGUGCCUGCCAUUGUGGAGCCUGGGAUCUGCAGUGAAGCUUGGCUGUGCACAGGGUUGAAAGAUUGGAGAUAUAUAUUCAAAUUAUACAGCUCCCAUACAGUAGAGCAGUAAAUAUGAGGGGGGUGACAGUGAAAUGCCAAGUGGAGGCAGUAAGGGUCCAAGCACCAGACACCAGCUUACUAGAUAUAAAAAGCAGAGUGACAUGGCUAUGACAAACAUUCAGUGAAGGUAGAGGAGACUGUCCCCUAGGAACCUCAGCUCAGGUCCUCACAGACUCAGUAAGUCCCUGUCUGAACUGCUUGCAAGUCACACAGGAGCUGCCAAAUUGUGGGAUAGUGUUUUAAUGAUUGUGCUGAGAAUGGUUUUGGUUCUGACUCCGGCUACUGCCUGGAAAACAUUGGGACCACUCAUGGUCCAUCUCCUGCUAAAGCCUGGCAAAGGCUUUCCAUAGCUCAUCCCAUGCUAUGAGAAGUAGCUGCCUACUUAUUUGCUCUGUGAUCUCUUGCAAGAGAAAUUAGUGCCUGAUGUUUUCCCCUAACACAUUCAGAGGCAUUACAGAGGAAGAGUGGGGACCUGCCUGGGGGAUCACAGAGCCACAAAGAGCUGCAGGAUCAUACUGUCCAC
Molecule: long non-coding RNA, 1393 nt
Filed under: Anas platyrhynchos platyrhynchos (common mallard)
Lineage: Eukaryota; Metazoa; Chordata; Aves; Anseriformes; Anatidae
Description: lncRNA (ENSAPLG00000025600.1)
Source: RNAcentral